RNAcentral lists this microRNA precursor (83 nucleotides) under Myotis lucifugus (little brown bat). Its description in RNAcentral is "mir-9236 microRNA precursor family". Lineage: Eukaryota; Metazoa; Chordata; Mammalia; Chiroptera; Vespertilionidae. The record is from Rfam by way of RNAcentral.
UUUACUUCUCUAGUUGUAGGACUUCCAUUCAGCCAGCUUUCGGGCAGUUCUGGAUGAUCAUUGUUCUGUAUUUUAGUUGUAAU